CAAGAGCGUAUGUAAAAGUUGUUGCAGUUAAAAAGCUCGUAGUUGAACCUUGGGUUUGGUUGGCCGGUCCGCUUUUUUGCGAGUACUGGAUUCAACCGAGCCUUUCCUUCUGGCUAACCAGUCGUUUCGGCGGCUGGCGAACCAGGAUUUUUACUUUGAGAAAAUUAGAGUGUUCAAAGCAGGCAUUAGCUUGAAUAUAUUAGCAUGGAAUAAUAGAAUAGGACGCUAUGGUUCUAUUUUGUUGGUUUCUAGGACCAUCGUAAUGAUUAAUAGGGACGGUCGGGGGCAUCAGUAUUCAGUUGUCAGAGGUGAAAUUCUUGGAUUUACCGAAGACUAACUACUGCGAAAGCAUUUGCCAAGGACGUUUUCAUUAA
Molecule: ribosomal RNA, 374 nt
Filed under: uncultured eukaryote
Lineage: Eukaryota
Description: partial 18S ribosomal RNA
Rfam family: Eukaryotic small subunit ribosomal RNA
Source: RNAcentral